RNAcentral lists this transfer RNA (73 nucleotides) under Diaphorina citri (Asian citrus psyllid). It matches the Rfam family "tRNA". Rfam says of the family: Transfer RNA (tRNA) molecules are approximately 80 nucleotides in length. Their secondary structure includes four short double-helical elements and three loops (D, anti-codon, and T loops). Lineage: Eukaryota; Metazoa; Arthropoda; Insecta; Hemiptera; Psyllidae. The record is from Rfam by way of RNAcentral.
GCCUGGUUAGCUUACUUGGUAGUGCGUCUGCCUUGUAAGCGCUAGGCCGCGGGUUCGAUUCCCGUAACAGGGG